RNAcentral lists this ribosomal RNA (490 nucleotides) under uncultured bacterium. RNAcentral describes it as "partial 16S ribosomal RNA". It matches the Rfam family "Bacterial small subunit ribosomal RNA", at positions 30 to 507 of the family's 1533-position model. The record is from RNAcentral.
AUUGAACGCUGGCGGCAGGCCUAACACAUGCCAGUCGAACGGUAACAGGAAGAAGCUUGCUUAUUUGCUGACGAGUGGCGGACGGGUGAGUAAUGUCUGGGAAACUGCCUGAUGGAGGGGGAUAACUACUGGAAACGGUAGCUAAUACCGCAUAACGUCGCAAGACCAAAGAGGGGGACCUUCGGGCCUCUUGCCAGCGGAUGUGCCCAGAUGGGAUUAGCUAGUAGGUGGGGUAACGGCUCACCUAGGCGACGAUCCCUAGCUGGUCUGAGAGGAUGACCAGCCACACUGGAACUGAGACACGGUCCAGACUCCUACGGGAGGCAGCAGUGGGGAAUAUUGCACAAUGGGCGCAAGCCUGCUGCAGCCAUGCCGCGUGUAUGAAGAAGGCCUUCGGGUUGUAAAGUACUUUCAGCGGGGAGGAAGGGAGUAAAGUUAAUACCUUUGCUCAUUGACGUUACCCGCAGAAGAAGCACCGGCUAACUCCGUG